RNAcentral lists this long non-coding RNA (1299 nucleotides) under Betta splendens (Siamese fighting fish). RNAcentral describes it as "lncRNA (ENSBSLG00000024380.1)". The record is from RNAcentral. Lineage: Eukaryota; Metazoa; Chordata; Actinopteri; Anabantiformes; Osphronemidae.
AUGUGCCCAAACAAGGCUGUUAGUGAGGAAAUGCCACGCUUCCUGUCUGCUGCUCCUCUGCUUCCUGUCUGUCGCUCCUCUGCUUCCUGUCUGCUGUUCCUCUGCUUCCUGUCUGUCGCUCCUCUGCUUCCUGUCUGUCGCUCCUCUGCUUCCUGUCUGCUGUUCCUCUGCUUCCUGUCUGUCGCUCCUCUGCUUCCUGUCUGUCGCUCCUCUGCUUCCUGUCUGCUGCUCCUCUGCUUCCUGUCUGCUGUUCCUCUGCUUCCUGUCUGUCGCUCCUCUGCUUCCUGUCUGUCGCUCCUCUGCUUCCUGUCUGCUGCUCCUCUGCUUCCUGUCUGCUGCUCCUCUGCUUCCUGUCUGCUGCUCCUCUGCUUCCUGUCUGUCGCUCCUCUGCUUCCUGUCUGUCGCUCCUCUGCUUCCUGUCUGCUGCUCCUCUGCUUCCUGUCUGUCGCUCCUCUGCUUCCUGUCUGCUGCUCCUCUGCUUCCUGUCUGCUGCUCCUCUGCUUCCUGUCUGUCGCUCCUCUGCUUCCGGUCUGCUGUUCCUCUGCUUCCUGUCUGCUGCUCCUCUGCUUCCUGUCUGCUGUUCCUCUGCUUCCUGUCUGUCGCUCCUCUGCUUCCUGUCUGCUGCUCCUCUGCUUCCUGUCUGCUGUUCCUCUGCUUCCUGUCUGUCGCUCCUCUGCUUCCUGUCUGCUGUUCCUCUGCUUCCUGUCUGUCGCUCCUCUGCUUCCUGUCUGCUGCUCCUCUGCUUCCUGUCUGCUGCUCCUCUGCUUCCUGUCUGCUGCUCCUCUGCUUCCUGUCUGUCGCUCCUCUGCUUCCUGUCUGUCGCUCCUCUGCUUCCUGUCUGUCGCUCCUCUGCUUCCUGUCUGCUGCUCCUCUGCUUCCUGUCUGUCGCUUCUCUGCUUCCUGUCUGCUGCUCCUCUGCUUCCUGUCUGCUGCUCCUCUGCUUCCUGUCUGCUGCUCCUCUGCUUCCUGUCUGCUGCUCCCCUGCUUCCUGUCUGUCGCUCCUCUGCUUCCUGUCUGCUGCUCCUCUGCUUCCUGUCUGCUGCUCCUCUGCUUCCUGUCUUCUGUUCCUCUGCUUCCUGUCUGUCGCUCCUCUGCUUCCUGUCUGCUGCUCCUCUGCUUCCUGUCUGUCCCUCCUCUACUUCCUGCUUCUUCCUGCUUCUCUCCAUGAAGCCUCCUCUUGUGUCGUCUCACACCUCCUCGUCUCCUCGCUGCCCUCGGCCUCCUUUCCUCCACAGCCUUUUCCUCCAGCCUGCUCUUUCUCCCUGUUCACUUUCUAUUCAAUUUGCUUUAUUGGCGUGA